AACUUUCAACAACGGAUCUCUUGGUUCUCGCAUCGAUGAAGAACGCAGCGAAAUGCGAUAAGUAGUGUGAAUUGCAGAAUUCAGUGAAUCAUCGAAUCUUUGAACGCACAUUGCGCCUCCUGGUACUCCGGGAGGCAUGCCUGUCCGAGCGUCAUU
RNAcentral lists this ribosomal RNA (156 nucleotides) under Donadinia helvelloides. Its description in RNAcentral is "5.8S ribosomal RNA". It matches the Rfam family "5.8S ribosomal RNA". Rfam says of the family: 5.8S ribosomal RNA (5.8S rRNA) is a component of the large subunit of the eukaryotic ribosome. It is transcribed by RNA polymerase I as part of the 45S precursor that also contains 18S and 28S rRNA. The record is from RNAcentral. Lineage: Eukaryota; Fungi; Ascomycota; Pezizomycetes; Pezizales; Sarcosomataceae.